AGCUAUGUGAAAGGCGUUUCAAAUUUGUUUGAACCAUGGGAAUGUGUAGAUUAGAUUUUGGUUGUAAUUUGAUUUGAUCAAAUGUUGUAAAAGGGCAUAAGUCCUUCUUUACUUUAAGGUAAUUUGUUUUAUGCAAAUGUUGUAAUAAUGAGCAUAAACUCAUCCUUUACUUUGAAGUAUUUCUUUCUUGCUUUAUAUGAUAUGCAUGAAAAAUGAAGUAAUUGGGUCCAACGCCCCUAAGACAACACGCCUUAAUGUGAUUAAACGCGUAACUAAAAAUCAAUCUCCAUCCCUAGACCGAGAUUCAACACAAGGCUCGUGUUGAAUCUAAACAAAGGUUCAUAGUCAUCCUAAGGCCCUAAGGCAACUAUAUAGUCCAUCAAAUGAAUGCAAACCUUAUGUUAGUAGUAACAUAUACUCUUGCUUUAAAAAACCGUUUUAAAAGCAUAGUGGGAGUAUUAUGUACAACUAAAACAAUCAUAUGGACCAAUAGUUGUAAUAGGACCAAAAUUGUUUUAAUAGAGAUUAAAAUGUAUAUUGAUAUGUGAUGAGACCUAAAAACCCUCAACCAAACCAAUAUUAAGUUGAAAGCGUGAGAGUGCUUAGAACAUUCUUUCGUGGCCUUCCACCAUGGUAGUUCCAAUCGUUUAUGACUUGUACACCGGCUUCACCCUAUCAUGGGGAAGUACAAAGUGCAUGCUUAUACUCAGGAGGAGUCUAUAUACAUAUGAUGAGGUGAGUGUAGGCAACGAGGAUGGCCAAUAUCGUAUCAUCGUGAGGCUAUUCUUGAAACCCUUCAUGAACUAAGCUUGGUGGGAAUGACUUAACUAAGUGCAAUGGAACCAAUAUCAUAUCAUUGUGAGGUGACAUUCUCUAGAGGCCAAAUAAGAUGGGUACUUGCAUGAGUUGCAAAUGAGUAAGCGUACUCUCUCAUUAUUAUUGUUGCUAGCCAUAUAUCGUAUCAUCGUGAGGUGGGCUUGGUAAUAGUGAGCCUCCCAUAACCUACUAGGAGUUUCAUCCAAAACUCUCGAAUUCCUAUGAGGGAUAUGGAAUUUGCCAAAAAUAGUGGGUGGUGCUAUUUGAUUUAAAGACCCAAAUCAAAUGGCUUAAAAUCAAUCAAUUUAUAUUCGUUAUGUAUUUGAUUACCAAUAUAUUUGCAAACGCUAUCCAACACUUG
This 1177-nucleotide long non-coding RNA is filed under the name Malus domestica (apple). Its description in RNAcentral is "long non-coding RNA (MDOM_LNC007368)". The record is from RNAcentral. Lineage: Eukaryota; Viridiplantae; Streptophyta; Magnoliopsida; Rosales; Rosaceae.